AUAGAAUAACAGAAGCAUGGUGGUAGGAUCUGAGUCUCUGAAUUGAGAAGAAGGAACCUGUACAUCUUUUGAAAUGAACAGAUUCCUACAAUGUUUACUGAGCUAUUGGAAGCACGAAUAGACCUUAGUGUUAUGAUAUAAACCUGCUCAAAAUACUGAGAAACAACACAGACCUGGCCACAAUGUAUGAAGAAAUGCAGCUUUGGUAGAUGCUCUCCACAAAAAACAGCUAUUAAUACAAAAUAUGCACUGGAAACAACGUGAAACAGCUGUGAAUAUUAAUGACAACGAUGGCUUCCCAGGGUACUCCUGACCAAAGCCUACAUGUUAACAUCAUUGUGUUGGAUAAAGAAAAAUUUCCUAGGGAGAUGCAAGCCUAGAUUUUCACAUAUUUCUCUCAGAAGCAAUCUGAAGAGAUUAGAAAACAUACACAUGGAUGCUGGAACAUGUUUGCUAGCUCCAUAUUUUAAAAUUUUUAAUUUGAAAAUUGGCUCCAAAGUCAAGCAGGAGUUAUGUCACGAAGGUUGUUUCAGUAACACUCACUUCUACGUGGGAAGCAUAUGGAUUCUGAUUAGCACAUUUGAAGAAGACUGGUGUACAGUAAGUUUCAUUUUGCCUCUGCAUUUUGUAACAAGAAGAGAUUAGCCAGGUCACUAUAUUUUUAAGCCUUAAUUCCACAGUUUCAAAAACCGGAUCGAAAUGUAACUUCAGUAAUUAUACAACUAAAUGCUUAAAAUUUUUCUUUCUGUUUUGUCUUCUAGCGAUUCAUGUGUGAUAUACCCAAGUGGAUAUAAGUAACAGAAGUACUUUCUAAGCUUAUCUGGCUUAAAAUAAAAAAUGAAUAAAAAAUAUAAUUUUUUUGUUA
Molecule: long non-coding RNA, 865 nt
Filed under: Anser brachyrhynchus (Pink-footed goose)
Lineage: Eukaryota; Metazoa; Chordata; Aves; Anseriformes; Anatidae
Description: lncRNA (ENSABRG00000022981.1)
Source: RNAcentral